Molecule: ribosomal RNA, 238 nt
Filed under: uncultured bacterium
Lineage: Bacteria
Description: partial 16S ribosomal RNA
Rfam family: Bacterial small subunit ribosomal RNA
Source: RNAcentral
CGGCGGACGGGUGAGUAACGCGUGGGUAACCUGCCUCAUACAGGGGGAUAACAGUUAGAAAUGGCUGCUAAUACCGCAUAAGACCACGGUACCGCAUGGUACAGUGGUAAAAACUCCGGUGGUAUGAGAUGGACCCGCGUCUGAUUAGGUAGUUGGUGGGGUAACGGCCUACCAAGCCGACGAUCAGUAGCCGACCUGAGAGGGUGACCGGCCACAUUGGGACUGAGACACGGCCCAG